Macrobrachium nipponense is the source of this 1275-nucleotide RNA transcript. It is a transcript of the gene named C-type lectin domain family 4 member G-like, with no coding region annotated. NCBI's taxonomy places the organism in Eukaryota, Metazoa, Arthropoda, Malacostraca, Decapoda, Palaemonidae. The transcript has 6 exons. The record is from RefSeq and is a predicted model, not a curated record.
GUUGGGGGUGGGCGUAGCGGCUGAUGCAUGUCAAGCAACGCACGCCCUCCUGAUCAUCUCUCUGGGAAUUCAGACUUCAGAGAGAGGACGAACGCCAUUAGAGCAAGAAGUACUACUAAGCUCACAUCUCAUACUCUACAUACAGAGAUGCAGUGUUCGAGCACGGCCGUGCUUCUUGCUUGCGUCUGCUUGCGACCAUUUUUCUCCUCCUCCAAUGGCUGGUCGCUGCCACUCGCAGCAAUUGGAUAAUAUUCAGCUCAGGCAGAAUUCAAGGCUCCAUCGAAGACCUCACUCACGUGGUACAAGAGCUUUCGGAGAACGUCACCUCAGGAAUCGGAAAGCUUUCGGAGGACGUCACAGCAGGAAUCGGGAAAAUGUUCAACUUAUUGGCCAUAGAUCAUCUUUACUGUGAAAACGGUUGGGUGAAGCUGAGAUCCUCCUGUUACUUCCUUGGCAAAGACACCAGCACCUGGGAACAGAGCCGUAGAAAUGCUUAGCCUUGGAUUCCGACUUGGUCACAAUCACUCGUGAUGAGGAGUACAACUUCCUCCGUGAUCUUGCAAAAGGUCACAGCACCUAUGUAGGACUGAAUGACCUGCAGGAAGAAGGGACCUACAGAUGGGUUGCAGAUGGCACCAUCCACCAAAUCGUUGAAUCAUGGUGGGCUGAAGGCGAGCCCAACAACCACGGUUCACGAGAACACUGUGUCCAUUUCUAUCGAUCCAAAGACGAUCGCCUCAAUGAUCACAUUUGUGCCAAUGAGUUCAGAUAUAUCUGCGAGAAACCUGCCCAACUGGAUUGGAACUCUGAUUCAGUGUCAGAAUAAGAAAUGCCCACAGACAUUGAAAUGGAAGAUGCAUUUGGACUAAGAAUUCCUUUCAAGUGUCUACAUCAAGUGAAAUUGCCUGCUUUUUAUGUGCUUGUAUUUCUUAAGCUGUAUCCUGUUGGACAACUCCAUAGUUCAUGUUAACAUUUCUUCAAUUAACAGUAAUAUAAGAGCAAUAUUUAGGUUUUACUACUGUAUGCUACCUGUUUAACAAUUGGUUAACCUUUUGACUACUAGUUAUACCCUCCACAUAUAUGUUUUAUGUGUUUCGUAUGUAUAAAGGUAUCUAUUUGUUAAUAGAACUGAAGUGCUAUGUGAACUAUAUUUCUUUCCGAGUAGUUUCUGUGCGAUGUUUCACUCUCUCUCUCUCUCUCCAGGUGAGCAGAAUGUGGCAUCCAGGAAAGUAGUUUUUUCAUUUCAAUAAACAUAGUUGAUCUGAUUAGAAAGGU